AACGAACGCUGGCGGCAUGCCUAACACAUGCAAGUCGAACGAGACCUUCGGGUCUAGUGGCGCACGGGUGCGUAACGCGUGGGAACCUGCCCUUAGGUUCGGAAUAACUCCCCGAAAGGGGUGCUAAUACCGGAUAAUGUCUUCGGACCAAAGAUUUAUCGCCUUUGGAUGGGCCCGCGUUGGAUUAGCUAGUUGGUAGGGUAAAAGCCUACCAAGGCGACGAUCCAUAGCUGGUCUGAGAGGAUGAUCAGCCACACUGGGACUGAGACACGGCCCAGACGACAGCGGGAGGCAGGAGUGGGGAAUGUGGGAAGAUGGGCGAAGGCUUGUACAGUCCAUGCGCCGUGGGUGAUGAGGACCUUAGGGUUAGAAUGCCCUCUGCCCAGGGAGGUGAAGGAAGGGGCGGGAAGAGUAAGCUCCGGAAAACUCGGCC
Molecule: ribosomal RNA, 433 nt
Filed under: uncultured bacterium
Lineage: Bacteria
Description: partial 16S ribosomal RNA
Rfam family: Bacterial small subunit ribosomal RNA
Source: RNAcentral